RNAcentral lists this ribosomal RNA (717 nucleotides) under Staphylococcus saprophyticus. Its description in RNAcentral is "bacterial SSU rRNA". It matches the Rfam family "Bacterial small subunit ribosomal RNA", at positions 1 to 720 of the family's 1533-position model. Lineage: Bacteria; Bacillati; Bacillota; Bacilli; Caryophanales; Staphylococcaceae. The record is from RNAcentral.
UUUAUGGAGAGUUUGAUCCUGGCUCAGGAUGAACGCUGGCGGCGUGCCUAAUACAUGCAAGUCGAGCGAACAGAUAAGGAGCUUGCUCCUUUGACGUUAGCGGCGGACGGGUGAGUAACACGUGGGUAACCUACCUAUAAGACUGGGAUAACUUCGGGAAACCGGAGCUAAUACCGGAUAACAUUUGGAACCGCAUGGUUCUAAAGUGAAAGAUGGUUUUGCUAUCACUUAUAGAUGGACCCGCGCCGUAUUAGCUAGUUGGUAAGGUAACGGCUUACCAAGGCGACGAUACGUAGCCGACCUGAGAGGGUGAUCGGCCACACUGGAACUGAGACACGGUCCAGACUCCUACGGGAGGCAGCAGUAGGGAAUCUUCCGCAAUGGGCGAAAGCCUGACGGAGCAACGCCGCGUGAGUGAUGAAGGGUUUCGGCUCGUAAAACUCUGUUAUUAGGGAAGAACAAAUGUGUAAGUAACUGUGCACGUCUUGACGGUACCUAAUCAGAAAGCCACGGCUAACUACGUGCCAGCAGCCGCGGUAAUACGUAGGUGGCAAGCGUUAUCCGGAAUUAUUGGGCGUAAAGCGCGCGUAGGCGGUUUCUUAAGUCUGAUGUGAAAGCCCACGGCUCAACCGUGGAGGGUCAUUGGAAACUGGGAAACUUGAGUGCAGAAGAGGAAAGUGGAAUAGCGAUCAGUGCCAGUUUCCAUGUGUAGCGGUG